RNAcentral lists this ribosomal RNA (324 nucleotides) under uncultured bacterium. RNAcentral describes it as "bacterial SSU rRNA". It matches the Rfam family "Bacterial small subunit ribosomal RNA", at positions 28 to 334 of the family's 1533-position model. The record is from RNAcentral.
GACGAACGCUGGCGGCGUGCCUAACACAUGCAAGUCGAACGGGGCUCUUUGGAUCGAGACUUCGGUCAAGUGAAUCUGAGCUUAGUGGCGGACGGGUGAGUAACGCGUGAGCAACCUGCCUUUCAGAGGGGGACAACAGUUGGAAACGAACGCUAAUACCGCAUAACGUGAGAAGAGGGCAUCCUCUUUUUUACCAAAGAUUUAUCGCUGAGAGAUGGGCUCGCGGCCGAUUAGGUAGUUGGUGAGAUAACAGCCCACCAAGCCGACGAUCGGUAGCCGGACUGAGAGGUUGAUCGGCCACAUUGGGACUGAGACACGGCCCAG